UUAGUUCCUUGCUCUUGAAAAAAAAAAAAGAAAAAAAGAAAAGAAAAAGAGAAGCAAAAUAUUCAGAGGAUUCGUUGGCGGCGGCGAUAAAAACUAUCAUCGUGUGAGCUUUCAGAUUGAGGUCAUUGGAGGCCGUUUGGUUGGUGUCUUAGACGUUGCAAGGUUGGAGAACUUCCCGUUAGCGAGAUACCGUUGCGAGAGAUAGAGCUAGUGGCUGACGAGUUUUUUUUCCGAGUGGAUCCUAUUGCUGAGAUACUAAUCCGACCUCGACGUUUUGAGGAAAAAUGCAUGGAUUGUUCACAACUUCACAUGUGUUUUGAUCUUCCAUAACACCAUAAAAUUUUCACUUCGAGCUUCACUGGCGCAGAGUUCACGGAUCAUAUCAUGCAUUCUGCAAGCUUUGAUUCAACGGGACACUGAAGACAACUAUGCAAGUUCUGUUGAGGUCCAUAUCACUUGGGUUGGAAUUGGAUUUUUCAUUUUUGUUGUGUUUGUUCUAAAUAUUGGUAGGUUGGAAUUGGACUUUUCUUCUGUCUUUUCUAAAUGUUGGUAGGUUAUAAGAGAAACUAGACCUGUAUAUAUAAACAAGUAAGGACAUGAGAUUUUCUUUUGCUAUUAUACAUUAACUUUGAAA
Nicotiana attenuata is the source of this 634-nucleotide long non-coding RNA. RefSeq lists it as uncharacterized. The record is from RefSeq and is a predicted model, not a curated record. Lineage: Eukaryota; Viridiplantae; Streptophyta; Magnoliopsida; Solanales; Solanaceae. The transcript is spliced from 4 exons.